This 790-nucleotide ribosomal RNA is filed under the name uncultured bacterium. RNAcentral describes it as "bacterial SSU rRNA". It matches the Rfam family "Bacterial small subunit ribosomal RNA", at positions 8 to 795 of the family's 1533-position model. The record is from RNAcentral.
AGAGUUUGAUCCUGGCUCAGGAUGAACGCUAGCGGGAGGCUUAACACAUGCAAGUCGUGGGGCAGCAUAAUGUAGCAUACGUUGAUGGCGACCGGCGCACGGGUGAGUAACGCGUAUGCAACUACCCUGUACAGGGGGAUAGCCCGGAGAAAUUCGGAUUAAUACCCCAUAAAGAUAUUUGAUGGCAUCAUAGAUAUUUAAAGUUUGGCGGUACGGGAUGGGCAUGCGUAACAUUAGCUAGUUGGUAGGGUAACGGCCUACCAAGGCAACGAUGUUUAGGGGUCCUGAGAGGGUGAUCCCCCACACUGGUACUGAGACACGGACCAGACUCCUACGGGAGGCAGCAGUGAGGAAUAUUGGUCAAUGGGCGCAAGCCUGAACCAGCCAUCCCGCGUGGAGGAAGACGGCGCUAUGCGUUGUAAACUUCUUUUCCAGAGGAAUAAAAUUUUGUACGAGUACGGAACUGAAGGUACUCUGGGAAUAAGCAUCGGCUAACUCCGUGCCAGCAGCCGCGGUAAUACGGAGGAUGCAAGCGUUAUCCGGAUUUAUUGGGUUUAAAGGGUGCGUAGGCGGAUUAAUAAGUCAGUGGUGAAAACCUUCAGCUUAACUGGAGACUUGCCAUUGAUACUGUUAGUCUUGAGUAUGGUUAAGGUAGGCGGAAUGUGUAAUGUAGCGGUGAAAUGCUUAGAUAUUACACAGAACACCGAUUGCGAAGGCAGCUUACUGAGCCAUAACUGACGCUGAUGCACGAAAGCGUGGGGAGCGAACAGGAUUAGAUACCCUGGUAGUC